CAUGGCUCAGGACGAACGCUGGCGGCGUGCUUAACACAUGCAAGUCGAACGAUGAAGCCCAGCUUGCUGGGUGGAUUAGUGGCGAACGGGUGAGUAACACGUGGGUGAUCUGCCCUGCACUUCGGGAUAAGCCUGGGAAACUGGGUCUAAUACCGGAUAGGACCUCGGGAUGCAUGUUCCGGGGUGGAAAGGUUUUCCGGUGCAGGAUGGGCCCGCGGCCUAUCAGCUUGUUGGUGGGGUAACGGCCCACCAAGGCGACGACGGGUAGCCGGCCUGAGAGGGCGACCGGCCACACUGGGACUGAGACACGGCCCAGACUCCUACGGGAGGCAGCAGUGGGGAAUAUUGCACAAUGGGCGCAAGCCUGAUGCAGCGACGCCGCGUGAGGGAUGACGGCCUUCGGGUUGUAAACCUCUUUCAGUACCGACGAAGCGCAAGUGACGGUAGGUACAGAAGAAGCACCGGCCAACUACGUGCCAGCAGCCGCGGUAAUACGUAGGGUGCGAGCGUUGUCCGGAAUUACUGGGCGUAAAGAGCUCGUAGGCGGUUUGUCGCGUCGUCUGUGAAAACCCGCAGCUCAUCUGCGGGCUUGCAGGCGAUACGGGCAGACUUGAGUACUGCAGGGGAGACUGGAAUUCCUGGUGUAGCGGUGAAAUGCGCAGAUAUCAGGAGGAACACCGGUGGCGAAGGCGGGUCUCUGGGCAGUAACUGACGCUGAGGAGCGAAAGCGUGGGUAGCGAACAGGAUUAGAUACCCUGGUAGUCCACGCCGUAAAUCGGUGGGCGCUAGGUGUGGG
This 796-nucleotide ribosomal RNA is filed under the name Rhodococcus sp. (in: high G+C Gram-positive bacteria). RNAcentral describes it as "bacterial SSU rRNA". It matches the Rfam family "Bacterial small subunit ribosomal RNA", at positions 18 to 826 of the family's 1533-position model. Lineage: Bacteria; Bacillati; Actinomycetota; Actinomycetes; Mycobacteriales; Nocardiaceae. The record is from RNAcentral.